This 468-nucleotide ribosomal RNA is filed under the name uncultured bacterium. RNAcentral describes it as "partial 16S ribosomal RNA". It matches the Rfam family "Bacterial small subunit ribosomal RNA", at positions 28 to 507 of the family's 1533-position model. The record is from RNAcentral.
GACGAACGCUGGCGGCGUGCUUAACACAUGCAAGUCGAACGGAAAGGCCCUGCUUUUGUGGGGUGCUCGAGUGGCGAACGGGUGAGUAACACGUGAGUAACCUGCCCUUGACUUUGGGAUAACUUCAGGAAACUGGGGCUAAUACCGGAUAGGAGCUCCUGCUGCAUGGUGUGGGUUGGAAAGUUUCGGCGGUUGGGGAUGGACUCGCGGCUUAUCAGCUUGUUGGUGGGGUAGUGGCUUACCAAGGCUUUGACGGGUAGCCGGCCUGAGAGGGUGACCGGCCACAUUGGGACUGAGAUACGGCGCAGACGGCUACGGGAGGCAGCAGUGGGGAAUAUUGCACAAUGGGCGGACGCCUGAUGCAGCAACGCCGCGUGCGGGAUGACGGCCUUCGGGUUGUAAACCGCUUUCGCCUGUGACGAAGCGUGAGUGACGGUAAUGGGUAAAGAAGCACCGGCUAACUACGUG